RNAcentral lists this long non-coding RNA (846 nucleotides) under Homo sapiens (human). Its description in RNAcentral is "HSALNT0253492". Lineage: Eukaryota; Metazoa; Chordata; Mammalia; Primates; Hominidae. The record is from RNAcentral.
CUCCGAGGGACGGGCGCGCACCCAGCUCCCCGGCCCCGCCUCCCCGGGCUUCCUGCGAGCCAGGUCUGACAUUGCAGUUCACCAAGGAGCCAUGUCUCCCAGGCAGAAUGGAGAUCCAUCUUUCCUGGCCCUGCCUCUCCACCUUCUCCGAGCCAGCAUUCUAGUUGUCUCCAGGAAUGAUCUCCCUGACCAUCCAGGGCUCAAACCCUGAACCUAGGAAUUGUCCCAGAUGCUUUGCACCCCCAUGUACCUGAUCUGUUGACACAUCCUGUCACGCUGUCCCCCAAACUUCCUUGUUCUCUGCAUGUCCGUUCUUCACCUCGCCCAAGCUGCCCUGAGGCUCCCCAGGCUGCAGUGGCUGUUUCAGUCCACACCAUGGAGAGAUGGGUUCUUUAGCCCUGCGUUGGUCAUGCCACAUCCCUCACUUGAAGUCCUGCAGUGCUUCCCAUGUGAUAUGGUUUGGCUGUGUCCGCACCCAAAUCUCACCUUGAAUGUUAAAAUCCCCAUGUGUCAAGGCCAGGACGAGGUGGAGAGAAUUGAAUCACAGGGGCGGUUCCCCCUUACUGUUCUCAUGAUAGUGAAUAAGUCUCAUGAGAUAUGAUGGUUUUAUAAAAGGCAGUUCCCCUGCACAAGCUGUCUUGCCUACCGCCAUGUAAGACUUGCCUUUGCUUCUCCUUUGCCUUCCGUCAUGACUGUGAGGCCUCCCCAGCCAUGUGUAACUGUGAGUUCAUGAGUCCAUUAAAGCUCCUUCCUUUAUAAAUUGCCCAGUCUUGGUGAUGUUUUUAUUAGCAGCAUGAGAACAGACUAAUACACCAUGGCCUUUAGAAGAAAAUCUAUACACCUUCC